This is a long non-coding RNA of Vespula vulgaris, 5551 nucleotides long. RefSeq lists it as uncharacterized. The transcript has 7 exons. The record is from RefSeq and is a predicted model, not a curated record. Lineage: Eukaryota; Metazoa; Arthropoda; Insecta; Hymenoptera; Vespidae.
UUUGUCUGACAUAAUGAAUUGAAAAGUUUCUUAACAGUAACUACUAAAUGCUUUCUUUAUAUAAUUUACAAUAUUAUGGUUUUUAAUAAGAAUGUAACGUUAUUUAAAUAAAUGUAUAAAGAAAUAAGAGAGAAUACAUAUAAAGAUGUGUAUGCGUGGGAAAGCAUACGUACAUGAAUGUAUGUGUGAAGUAAUGGGCGCUAGAGUAUAAAGACACAAAUUUAUUGAAAAUAGGUAUAAAUGACGAAUUUGAUAAAAGACGAUCAAAAUUAAUAGGUUAGUCAGUAAUAAUCACAAGCAAAAUGUGAAAGUGCAAAAGUAUUCGAAGUAAAGUAUUGGUAUUGUUUGCUUAAAGUAAGACGGUUGAGUAAUCUCUAUGUAGUUCCAAGUGUAAACUUUUAAUUAAAAAUACUCUCAGUAUCGUUAAGGAUUAUUAUAUCAGCUUUCUACUAAUAUCAAUAAAAAUAUCCUAUAUAAAUACAUCAUCAUAUUAUUGAAGAUAAUAGAAAGAUUUCUACUAUUCUAUAAUAUCUAAUCUAUAUAAAUAGCGUUGUCAUUGUGACUUUGAUCAAUCGACAAAAAUCAUCGUAUAUUACGCAACGACAAAGAUACGAGAUGCGUUGCCGUAAACACUGAUAUAAACUAAAAUUGUCGAAUACAUAGUGAUAAAAAUGAUGACGAGGGAGAAAAGGGAGAAAGGUUAUGAGAAAAUGAAGACAGAAGAAACGACUAAUCUAAAUUCGAUAAGAAGUUAAGGUGGCAGUAUCAUUAUAAGAAGUUUUGCGAGAAAGUAUUUUUCUCAAGAGAUUUUCCUCUCUUCUUAAACUUUUUCAUUGUAGACUAAUCAGAUGCACUGGAGUCUGAAAAUAUGGCAAUGUAUUUCUUUUAAUUUCCUCGACGGGUGAUAUACUCUUAUUGAAAAGAAAAACAAAUAGAAUCAAGAAGUUUCGUUCUUCGCACAAUCAAUCUAAUUUUUGCAAGGGAAAUAUAUCAUUUUCUGCAAAAGAGAAUAUAUUAUUUUUUUAUGCUGUCUACAUUAUUUUAUUGAUUGUAUUCCGUCCAUUCAUCUGUCUAUCCGUUUCCCAUUUCGUCAAUGUAUUUUGUUCAAGCAUUAUUACUCUCGCUACAUCAUCGUACAGCGUUGUUAUGUUGGGAACAUAAUAAAAAGAGAUGUAUCAGAUGAAUCGAAGUAAAAAGAAAAAAAUCUUUUCGGUACAUUAGUCAUUUUCUUUUCGUAUUUCAAUGAUGAUACAAGAGUUGAGGUAUUGAAGAAGCAAGAGAGAGAGAGAGAGAGAGAGAGAGAGAGGCGCAAAAGGAAAAAAACAGAAAGGAAAUAAAUAAAUAGAAGCGAAAGGUCGGUAUGUAUCUAAGACGAAAAUGUUGACACUCGCGAUUCCAACAAAGGACAAAGACAAAAGAACAUUAUCGAGCAAAAGAGGAAGGUGAAAGACGACAACAAAUACAGCAACGAAGGAAUUUGAAUUCAUCUAGAACGAUCUAUGAUUUGAGACAUCGUACGUCAAGUACACACACAAGUGCGCGUAUUUAUGAGUCUGUUAACUUUUGAAACAAAUAGUGCUUGAAGCAUUAAAUUAAUUUUGCAAAUUUUCUAUUACUUCAUUUAUAUAAAUGUUUCUUCUAUAAUCAAUCGAUCUUUUUCUUUCUGAAUACACGAAAUACAUUUUUAGAAGUAUUGCAUUUAUACAUAUUGCCGUAUACGAUUUGAAUCACCUUUAUUUAUUUCAAUGAGUUACCUAUAUAUGGAAUGAUAGAAUAUGGAUAUACAAAGAUCAAGCUGUGGGAGAUUUGAAAUUUCACAUAUACCCUAUAAUAGAAGAAGCUUACACAAAAUUGGAAUGGUACUUUCCUUAUUUAACAAGAAAAAUUCGAGAACGAAAAAAAAGAGAAUUUAUCCUUUGGAAAAAUCAAGAAUCAUGGUUCAGGCGAACGAAGAAAGGAAUUAUCAUAUCUUUUAUCAAAUAUGCUCGGUGGCGAAACGUCUUGCACACUUACAUCUUGAAAACUCAAUCGAGUUUCAUUGCAUCAAUCCAAAAAAUAAUUCUAGAAUCAAAGGAGUUGAUGAUCUUUCAUGUUUCGAUGAUACAAUUAGUACUAUGAUGCAUGACUUUACAUUUAAACAGUAAAAUAAUAUGUUGGGAAUAUUAGCAACCAUAUUGCAUUCAAGAAGCAUAAAUAUAAAUACCUUUGAUAUACAAAACAAGGAUGAUGAUAAUACAGAAGCUACUUUUAUUUCUGUAAAUUUUCUAUAAGAAAUUUCAUGAAUUACUUGGUACGAACAUGAAUGCUAUGCGAAAAUGGCUUUGCUAUAGAAAGAUCAUAUCGAUGAGGGAAGACUUCUUAAAGCCAAUGAAUGCAAAACAAGCGAUAAGAAUUAGAAUUGCUUUGGCAAAACAUAUUUAUUCCAAGCUAUCCAAUUGGAUAGUAAUCUGUAUUAAUAAUUCACUACAAUUUCAAGACAAGGUUCAGUGUUUCAUCAGUGUGUUGGAUAUUUACGCAUUCGGAACAUUUGAAAUAAACUCUUUUAAAAUCUUGUAUAAGCUAUGCGAAUAAAAAGUUACAGCAACAAUUCAAUCAGUACAUCUUUAAACUUGGACAAGAAGAAUAUUUCAAGAAAGGGAUUGAAUGGACUUUUAUAAAUUUUUACAAUGAUAGAUUAAUAGAACCGUACAUCGAUUUAAUAGAAUUAAAAUUAGACAUAUUAUAUUUAUUGGAAGAAAAGUAUCGGAUAAAAAAGAUGAUUUGAUUCACAGAUAAUAUGUCAAUUAGUACUGUUGUGUAAGAUAAAUAUACGUAUAUACGUAUAUAUUUCAUUAAAAUAUUCAAGCAGGUUACUUCGUUAAUUUUAAAUAAAGUUUUUGAAUAUAUUUGUGAGCAACUGCAACUUUUAUCAUGAUCUUACUACGAUACAACGAAAAGAAAUUAAUUUUUUAAUCAAUGAUUUAUAUUUUAAUAUAACAAUGAAUAUUUGACAUAGAUGCCAAAAUGAAUGGAUACUUCAUGGGCCGAUAAACUCUCUGCAAAAUGUAAAAAAUCAAAACAUUUCAAAAAGCCACAAAAUACUUAUUUUCUUAAUACAUCACUUGGCUGAUUUGAUCCAACAGAAGGCAUUAGGUUUUCUUACGAAGAACAGAGAUACAAUGAUAGGGACACAAAUAGAUGUGUUAAGAGCUAGCGAGGUUUAAUAUGUUAUUUUUUAUACCUAUAUAGGUAUAAAAAAAUGAAAAGAGCGAUUUUAGAUUUUCAAAGAUAUGGUAAAGGAUUUUUGGCAAGGCAAAGGGCUGAAUGGAUUAGAUGCGAAAGAACUGCCAUUAAAAUUCAAAUGAAUAUUAGAGGCUGAUUUAAGAGUGUGCUAUCAAAGAAUUAGACGCACAAUUAUUAGUAUUUGGAAUUAUGAUAGAGGUAAAAUGACAAGAGAAAGAAAUUGUUGAAUGAAGGACAUUGAUAAAGAAAAAAUCACGCAAAAAAGAACAGGAAAACAAAGAAGUUAUCGAAGAAAAUGAAAAGUUAUAUUCGGGCAAGAUACAACCAAUAUUGCUUUCCCUUUCCAUGCAUUGUUUAUUUAAAUUCUUCGCUUUCGAUUUCCCUUUCCUAAUUCAUUAUUGGUUUCGCAGAUAGUUCGAAUAAAAUAAUCAAUUAGUCGAUGAAAAGCAUUCGUACUUAACAGUAGGAUAAUCGAGUCUUACCAGUAUCACUAACCAAUUUUAAUCAGAGGUAUCUAGAAAAGUGUAGUCGAGAUACAUCUUUCGUAUUCAAAUGAUCAAGACUUCCUCUGUUUUGCAAACAGUACUAACUGCACUGCUAACAUUCCUCAUUGCGAGGUAGCCAAUUCAACUAUCAACAUACACUUAACAAAACACGCAUUUUAACAUCACACAGCUGUAUCUCGUUUCUUCAAAAUACAUUAUAAGUUCGAUCCAAGAAGCAUUUUUUAUCGCGCAUCAACCUCACGAGUUCCAAGGGACUUUUCAAAGAAAUCGCGUUCUCCCAUUAAUUUGUGCGAAUAUAGCGAGCAAUAAUUUGAUGAAAACUUUCAACGAUUUCUGAGCUUUUUGUCACCGUCCAUAUUCAUCGCAAACAAUAAGUCUACAUUUUGACGAUUAGGAAGAAACAUAGUUGUCCCCUUACAGUGCAACAUAUAUGAGACCAUUAAAACUUACUUCCAACAGGUAUGAUAAAAUAAAGAAAGAGGAAACUUUUAGAGUAGAUAAUUUUAGAACUGAAAUAGAAAAUUCUCUAAGAGUAUUUGUACAGAUGUUUCUACAGAUGUUUCUUUUGUAAUAGUACAUAUAAAUACAGUUAAGCCCGUACAACAUGAUCGUUAAGUUCUUAAGAAAUGUCUUGCUAUGUGAAUUCGUGUUAUACGAAAUAGAAAACUAAUUAAAAAAACAGGAUUAAGUUCUGUUACCGUCUGUCAAGUUCAAAAGUAUAUUAUUCAAGAUAAAUAAUAUUAAUUCUUACAAUGUAAGAAAUAUAAAUUCGUCUUCGAAUACAAUGAAUAAUUAAGGGAUUAUAUAGUAUAUUAAGAUGCGUAAUUUAUCGUUUGUAAAUGGUAAUUGAAGAAAAAGUUUUUAAUAGUGAAGAGUAGAUUCUUGAGUACGUAGUUAGAUAGGAAGACGAAAUAUAUCCCUUGUGGGUUUUUAGAAAAUGUCUAUAGAAAACGUCUAUGAAAGAGAAAAGUGGAAAGGGAAAGGGGAAAGAUCUAUAAGAAGUGAUAAAGAGUAAGUGGGGAUAAGGUGAUCUUGCGGUUCUUGUAGUUAUGAUGUCUAGAUUUAACAAUCAUACAACGUAUACAGUAAUUACAAUAAUAACAAUAAUAAUUAUUAUAAUAAUGAUAAUAAUGAUAAUGAUUAAGAUUGGCUAGUGAUAUUGGUAGACUCGGUUAUCCUACUGUUGAGUACGAAUGCUUUUCAUCAACUGAUUGAUGAUUUUUUCCAACUAUCUGUGAAGUCAAUAAUUAAUUAGAAAAGGGAAAUCGAAAAGGAGGAGUUUAAAUAAACAAUGCAUGGAUAGAGAAAGCAAUAUUGGUCGUGAGUGUAUCAAUCCUGUCUCCUGCCUAUAUGGACUUGUGAGUAUUGUAUUGAAGGAUUUUGCAAUUUGAAGAUAAUUGAUAUUUUAAGGAUAGACGCCAGACGAACCCAUGGCUCAUUUUGUCCAGGAAUCUACUUUCACCGUUUAUUUAUUGUUCCGUUCGUUACAUUGAAAACUACUUACUUGAUUAAAAAUGCUCAAAUCUAGACAAAUGUGGGAAUAUGUUCUUUAUUCACAUGUUUUUUUUAACUAUUAUCAAAUGAAUUCCCAAAGACAGAUAUUCUCAAUAAUGAUAUAUGAGCCUUAGGAGAAAGUACUGUGAAUUAUUGAGUGUGUGUACGUGUGUAUCAACAACAUAUUUUUCUCUUCCGAAAUGAUUAACAGAGAUCUAUAUUCAUUUGAGCAUUUUGUGAUCUAUAGAAUAACAUAUAUAAAAUCUUUUGUUUAUGCAUUUGUAAUUUACGGUAUAUAUAUAUAAGAUAUUGUAAUAAUAAAAUAUUAA